This 75-nucleotide transfer RNA is filed under the name Pseudomonadota bacterium. RNAcentral's name for it is "Proteobacteria bacterium (activated sludge metagenome) tRNA-His". It matches the Rfam family "tRNA". From Rfam's summary of the family: Transfer RNA (tRNA) molecules are approximately 80 nucleotides in length. Their secondary structure includes four short double-helical elements and three loops (D, anti-codon, and T loops). The record is from RNAcentral. Lineage: Bacteria; Pseudomonadati; Pseudomonadota.
UUGGCUCUAGCUCAAUGGCCAGAGUUCCGCACUGUGACUGCGGUGAUUCCGGUUCGACUCCGGAGAGCCAACCCA